UGCGCACCGCGCGAAAGCUCUUCGAUGGUCGCGUCUUCGCAUGACAGCGGGCGCGGCUCAAAGAAACGCCGCCCGGUCUCUGCCGGGCGGCGGCAUGGAG
This 100-nucleotide small RNA is filed under the name Sinorhizobium meliloti 2011. RNAcentral's name for it is "putative ncRNA". Lineage: Bacteria; Pseudomonadati; Pseudomonadota; Alphaproteobacteria; Hyphomicrobiales; Rhizobiaceae. The record is from RNAcentral.